CACAUCUGUAUCUCCCAUGGACAUGGUA
This 28-nucleotide non-coding RNA is filed under the name Mus musculus (house mouse). Lineage: Eukaryota; Metazoa; Chordata; Mammalia; Rodentia; Muridae. The record is from RNAcentral.